This 366-nucleotide long non-coding RNA is filed under the name Brassica napus (rape). Its description in RNAcentral is "long non-coding RNA (BNAP_LNC003444)". The record is from RNAcentral. Lineage: Eukaryota; Viridiplantae; Streptophyta; Magnoliopsida; Brassicales; Brassicaceae.
GAAUGCACUGCUUGAGUUUUGCGAGAGUGGUCAAGGCCAAAUAGCAAGUUGUAGAUGGAAUUCUGCAUCAUCUGAAUCUGGAGAUCAAGAAGAGGCUAUAAAGAAGAAGCCAUGGAUGAACUUCAACUAAUUACAUGAGUUUAUACCUGCGAGUGAUGAUGCGCCUACCAUACUCCCUCAGAUCUUGGUUGCCAAAAAGGUAAAUGUACUAUCUUUUCUUAAGGCACAUUAUUAAAUUGAAUUUUGCAUUCACGAACGCAAGCAUUUGAGUGGUUCACUCAGAAAUCAUGUUUCUUUAAUUUGUAUUGUAGAUUGGAAUUUUGUUCUUUUUUUUUUGUUGGAUUCGCCACACACCUCACCAGCUCC